Molecule: long non-coding RNA, 1561 nt
Organism: Vigna angularis (adzuki bean)
Lineage: Eukaryota; Viridiplantae; Streptophyta; Magnoliopsida; Fabales; Fabaceae
Exons: 2
Source: RefSeq, a predicted model, not a curated record
CUCAGAUUGUUCACUCAUAUUACAACACCAACUGAUAUUACAUCAACAAAACAUGAAGUUAAACACCUAAGCCAUUACAUGAACAAAACAUACAUUGCACAUUGCACACCUAAGAUCAAGCUAAACACAGCCACAAUGUCAUAAUGUUCAACACAAUAACAGCAAACACAACUUCAACUAAGAACUUUAUCCUUCUCUGCAACUCUUUGACAUUAUUUUCCAGAUCACAUACCUUGUUGCUUUAUCUCACAAUUGUACCAUCUCUAUCAUCAGCGUUGUCCUCAGAACACCACUUGAAAAAAUUACAUGACAUCCUAGUUGAAAAUUCACCCUAUUAUUCGCCAAGAACACAAAAAUGUUAAAACACAUAAAAUCCAAUACACAUAAAAGUCACUACGGUAUUCAAAACACCUUGUAAUGACGACAUCCCCAAAAUUUCCUCCCAGCAUUCCUUGAAAUUCUGGCAACUUUCAUUACAGCAAUAUCACCACAGUGGCAAAUAGGGGUUAUCCCAACUCCCCUCGAAACAGCACUGUGUGAGGAUUGUGAAAAUCCUUUGGACGUUGCCUUCGAAUAGGAAGAACAACUUUGUGAUGAAGUCAUCCCUAACCUUAACCCUUUGUUUUUAAAUUUCGGAACAACAGUAGCACGAAUCUCCAACAAUCCUAACCUUUACUUUUAGAUUUGAGAACAAAUGUAGCACGAAUCACCAACAACCCUAACUUUGCUUUUUAAUUUGGAAAAAACAACCAUGAAUCUCUUUGCUUUCAAGAUGAAUCAACAAUUCAAUUUAACACGUCAACCAAAACUGCACAACUCAUCCGCUUUUUGCCAGCUGGGCAGCUGUGUCCGUAGUCCUUUUUAAGAUGUUAGUGAACUUUUAAAAAAAAAAAAGGACAACUUUGAACAGAUCUACAAAAAGAGUACCAAAGAGCAAUUAAACCUAUUCAAUUAAAUUAAACUAAACCCUUUCUUUUGCCGGAACUGUUCUGGUAAUUCUCUUUCAAUUUAAUCAACACAGGCUACGCCCUUCCUUUCCCGCCACCGAGUUACCCAUCAGCGCCGCCGCCGCCUCCUGCAGGGUAUGAGCCGUUUGCGCCACCGCCUCCGCAGUACCAAGGUUACCAAAGCUAUUUGAAUCAACAGUACCCUCCGCCACCUCCUUCGCAUUACGAUUGCCACCACUUACAGUAUCAUGACGAUGGUACCCCCGGUUUUACUUCCUUCUUGGAAGGCUGCUUGACAGCGCUUUGUUGCUGUUGUUUGCUAGAAGAUUGCUUUUUCUGAUGAUCAUUUUAAAAGUUGCAUCUGCAGUUUGGUGUACUUGGCCGGUUAUAGCUUCUCUGGAUAAAUGUUGCUCUAAUGUCUUCAUGUGUGCGGGAUCUGGUAAGUGUUAGUCAUUGUUGUAACUCUUGGGUCUUUACCUUCUCCCUCACUCGUUUCUGGUUCUUCAUAGAUUUUCUGAUGUGAUCAUUGUGAAUGCUUAAUGUUGCUUAAUGUAUAUUGGAAACUGUAAAGAACAAUGUUUUUACCUGGAAUAACAAACUAAUAUAUUAUGGUU